GACGAACGCUGUCGGCGUGCUUAACACAUGCAAGUCGAGCGGAGCGGCGAACGGGUGAGUAACGCGUGAGUAACUGCCCCCCUCUCUGGGAUAACAGUUGGAAACGGCUGCUAAUACCGGAUAGUGGGGGAUGACUCGCGUCCUAUCAGCUUGUGGGUGGGGUAGUGGCCUCCCAAGGCGACGACGGGUAGCCGGCCUGAGAGGGCGACCGGCCAAAUUGGGCUUGGGUACGGCCUAAAACCGUACGGGAGGCAGCAGUGGGGAAUAGUGCACAAUGGGGGAAACGCUGAUGCAGAAACGCCGCGUGCGGGAGUACGGCAUUCGGGUUGUAAACCGCUUUCAGCCAUGACGCGGUAGUGGCAGAAGAAGCACAGGCUCACUACGUGCCAGCAGCCUCGGUAAUUC
RNAcentral lists this ribosomal RNA (405 nucleotides) under uncultured bacterium. RNAcentral's name for it is "partial 16S ribosomal RNA". It matches the Rfam family "Bacterial small subunit ribosomal RNA", at positions 28 to 526 of the family's 1533-position model. The record is from RNAcentral.